AGCAGCCGCGGUAAUUCCAGCUCCAAUAGCGUAUAUUAAAGUUGCUGCAGUUAAAAAGCUCGUAGUUGAAUUUCGGGACUAAUAUGUCGGUCGUGCCUCGGUACGUACUGGUUUAUUGGUUUCUCCUUUCUGAAGAACCAUGAUGCCAUUUAUUUGGUGUCGUGGGGAAUCAGGACUGUUACUUUGAAAAAAUUAGAGUGUUUAGAGCAGGCUUUGGCUUGAAUACAUUAGCAUGGAAUAAUGAAAUAGGACGUUCGAACCUAUUUUGUUGGUUUCUAGGAUCAACGUAAUGAUUAAUAGGGAUAGUUGGGGGCAUUAGUAUUCAAUUGUCAGAGGUGAAAUUCUUGGAUUUAUUGAAGACUAACUACUGCGAAAGCAUUUGCCAAGGAUGUUUUCAUUAAUCAAGAACGAAAGUUAGGGGAUCGAAGACGAUCAGAUACCGUCGUAGUCUUAACCAUAAACU
RNAcentral lists this ribosomal RNA (463 nucleotides) under uncultured Glomus. RNAcentral describes it as "SSU rRNA". It matches the Rfam family "Eukaryotic small subunit ribosomal RNA", at positions 569 to 1038 of the family's 1831-position model. The record is from RNAcentral. Lineage: Eukaryota; Fungi; Glomeromycota; Glomeromycetes; Glomerales; Glomeraceae.